CUCCAACAAUACACAAUGUGAUUAGAUUGCUACUUUUAAUAUAAUUUUAUUAUCAAACGCUUGCCUAUAAUGCAAAGAUUUUGUGGGGCCCAGCAGGCCCUAUGUUUACCUUUUAUUACAAUGCACAAAAGAUAAACUUAAUGGUCAAACGAUGGAGUACAUUGAAAUAAGUGGUAGAGUACACGUGUUUCUAUUUAUUUAUUUAUUAUUUUAAUUAUUCCCUUUAAUUUCUGAACCACACGUGGUGCAGGUGCAGAGGUUUCAUUCGAUCUCAAGUCAAUGCUUCCAAAUCUUAAAUAAAAUACCCUCAGUUGGGUCGUCUUGGUGUUGUGUUUUUCGUUGUCAAAAACGUCACUGAAACUACUUUGUAGUGUAAUUAGCAGUUUAUUGAUUAAGCAAGUGAAACGUAUAGUUACCAAUACAAUCAAUCGACUGUCUGAAAUGGAAUAUCAAACCAAGGCAAAAUAACUAUUUAGCGACAGCUGCCCCGCUGUUAAACUGCAUUUGGCUUAAUGAUUGAAGAAAAUUCAAAAUCACCUUAAAUUAAUUUUUAGUGUUUGUCCUCGAGAUUCAGACAGAUUCAGUCCUCGCGCGCGCACACACACACACACACUUUUUGCCUGACCCUGUGUCUGUAAUGUAUACAGGCCUGCACUGUGCGUUGAAACACAUACAGACAGUAAAAUGCUAAAUUAAAUAAAAGCAGUAACCAAAAAAUGUGCAAUCUCUGCAGUGAUACGAGUAGCUUAAUAAUUCAGACAGAAAAUGGAUUUAGUAAAUGGCGCUUUAGUUCACACCGUUUCUUUGAGAAGUCCUUCGCCAUGCAGCUUUGGGCAAAAGAUGGCAGUCUCAGUGAAUGAGAAACUCAGGCAUGCUCAAAGCAUUUUCCCACCAUGCUUUUAUAAUCAGCGUGACGUUUUAUUCAUCUACCAUACACAAUGAGAAAAGCAUAAAUACUAUUAUGAACAAAACAUCAUGAAAAGUCUUGCAGUCAACGAAUUUCGUUUGGGAAAUUGUUGAAAAUAUAACUUUAGUAAACAACAUUCAUUCAUAUAACCGUUGCAGUGCUACACAGACUACGCACUGUUCUUUUCAGUGAAAAUAGACAAAAUUAAAUUUCCCAGACGAAUAUGUUCAAGGAUGCGAAUGUAUCAAACAGAAGUGUUAGGAUAAUUCUUUUAUUUCAGUGCGUUUAUCUAGGGAACGUUAUUGGAAAGUAAAUGUGAAUAACAGGUAAAAAUAAUCGUCCCUGUAUCAUAUAAUGUGCUUCUUACCUUUAGCGAAACUUUACGAAAAUGAAUAGCCUAUUUAGUGUAGCUACAGUAAGCAGAAAGCAUGGCCUGUGUGUCCUCCAGAACGAAGAUGUUGAAUCUCCAGCAACAGAUGUCCAGGCACAAUUCUUGGAUUUAAAUUAUAUUGAACAAGAAUUGCGUUUGGACAAUCAGUCUCUGGGACCCUUUGAAAAGCUUAUUUUUCAACUCCAUGGAAAUAUAGUCUAUGUGUUAACCAAAUACAAACUGAAAUCUCACACUGUGUCCCUGUGGCUGUUGGGCCUAUUAGCCUUGAAGAUUUUCACACAAAAUGUUAUUCUUUUAUAAACCUGUUUAAACACUUACGUUCCUCAUUUCUCAUUAUUUUAAUGCCUGCAUUUUACUUUAAAAUGCAAAAGUGUAUCGCGUUGUUUGCUGUAAUGAAAUAAACAGAAAACUGAUGGUAGUUUAUAGCUCUGGCACGUAUAUUUUACCUCAGAAUUAACGAAUAAGAUUUCUGUUUUCUUACUUUUAAACAAAAAGUUGCAACCGUUCUUUCAAAAAAAUAAGUCAGAUAUUCCUAAACGGGUUUUAACUUAUAAACCACAAACUUCAUUUUAAUCGAAUCCAGAGUAAAAAAAAAAAAAACCUGACCCCUAACAUAUUUUCCUUUCAGAAAGCUUUUCCUUUAAGAAGAGGGUUAAAAGUUUGACGCGCGUUCAGUGAGCUUGUUAAAAUCGGAAUAAACUAAACCUCAGCUCACCACAUAAAAAGAAACACUUUUGAAAAAAAAAAAAUAUAUAGAGAGAGAAAUCAAAUAAAAUGAGCUAAGGAGCAGUUUCGUAAAGUCCUGCUUGUUAAAGAAGCAGCCCUUCGCCAUUUCUGCACCUGUAAGGGCGCACAUCCUUGUAGUUCCACCUCUCGACGUCAGGCACAGGAAUAUCAUCUGAUACCAGCAAAACCCGAAAAACUACCAAAAACCAUUUCCAGUCGAGCCAUUUCGAUACUUUUGUUGCCCGUGGUGUGGUGGUGUUAGAGCAAAGCCUCUUCUCUCAACGCAGUGCUGAUGAAAAUGCGCGGAAGCCUGUGUCCUGCGCGCGCGAGCGCUGUAUCCUCACUAACGCAAGCGGAGAAAAUGGUCAAAUGCAAGAAGGAGGGCUGCGUUGGGUCGCUCGAAGAUCCCUCACGCCCUCAGUAAUGCCUUGAUGGGACGGUUCUUAUGGAAUGGCACGGACUAACGCGUUCCUAUGAAGGCUUUUCUCAGGCUCCCGUAACAAUACCGGUGUUGCCACGACGGACGGCGAGAGGGAGUGGGGAUGAUCUUCGCUUGGUACUGAAUUUGAAUAACACCAUGGGGUGAUAAAUGUCCA
This is a long non-coding RNA of Cyprinus carpio carpio, 2620 nucleotides long. Lineage: Eukaryota; Metazoa; Chordata; Actinopteri; Cypriniformes; Cyprinidae. The record is from Ensembl.